GCAAAUAGAGAAUCAACAUAAUUGCAUUAUACAGUAUUUACCCAGCUAAAAGGUUAUGGCUGCCUUGUCAAUUGGGUUUUAUUCUGAUGAAUACAAUUAUAUCAGAAAUUUAAUCCCCAAUAGAAAAUGCCUAAAAUCUUAAUUGUACAACAACUAUUUACCUGAAUCGUGUGUAAUACUGGAAGCUUGCAAGCAAUUCUGGGUUGAGAACGAUUUUCUGAAGUCCAAUGAAGUCUCUGUCACAACGGUCAAACCACGGCAGAGUUUCAUCAUGAUCGUCCUCCUCGUGAUCACAUUCUCCUUCUAGCCAUUUGUGCACGUUGCACACAUGGUAUAAUAAUGCAAUCCACUUAUCCUAAAUAACACACCAAGAACUAUAAUUACACCACUUAUUAAGAAAUUCUACAACUCAGCAUUGCUGGCAAGA
Non-coding RNA from Paramuricea clavata, 427 nucleotides. The record is from the annotation of a GenBank genome assembly. Lineage: Eukaryota; Metazoa; Cnidaria; Anthozoa; Malacalcyonacea; Plexauridae.